RNAcentral lists this long non-coding RNA (8080 nucleotides) under Marmota monax (woodchuck). The stretch from base 7988 to 8056 matches the Rfam family "tRNA". The record is from RNAcentral. Lineage: Eukaryota; Metazoa; Chordata; Mammalia; Rodentia; Sciuridae.
CAUUUGUCCAAGCACUCAGAUAAUCUGCUUCAAAGCCCUGGGUGACCAGGGACUGCCCAAGGCGGGAUCUUGCAGGAACCAAGACACACAUGAGCAUGUGGGUAGCCUUUCCACUUUGCCACCUGUGUUAUCUGUAGGUGCUGACCCCAUCCCACCAGCCAGGUCCUCAUGCACUUCCCUGAUGUCCUGCUACCAUCUCACAAGAACUGCUGCCUCCACCCUCUGUUGCAAGUCAGCCCUGAACAGGAGCAGCGGGUGGGAGAUGGGCGAGGAGAGCUGCUGGUUCCUCCAGAGGCCAUCCGGCUUUUCUGGUUUCUUAAGAGGGUUUCAGCAAACACACUCCUGUUUUAAGCAUUUUCUAAAAAGCUACUUUUGCAGACUUCAUGUUCUCUUAUGAGCUCAUUUUUUUGCCCAAUGACAUAAAGCAAGGAAUUAGAAAACCACCAUUUCUAAUUGAAACAUAAAAUGGGACAAACGGCGAAUGCCAGAUUCACUCCCUUUCCCUCACUAGGUUUUUCUAGUUCAGACGACAUUUCAAAACCAUUAUAGGGUCUAAACAAUUUUCAAGAAAUGGAAGACAUGGUCUCUGACCUCCACUAUUUUUAUUUCUUUUGUUAAAUAUUUUAAAAAUAUAAUAUAGUACUUUCAGGUCUAUUUAGAAAGUAUGAUGGUAAUAAUCCAAAACCUCACCCCUCAUGAUCUGUACUCCCAGUUUGGCAUAAUGCCUUCCGCUCUUUGUGUCUUCACGUGUUUCAUUUAGUGACACCCAUAAGUUCCAUUUGACUUCAUAAACCUGAGAGCACCAGCUCCACGGGAAGCAAAGGAAGGUGGCAAACACAGUUUCAUCAUCAGAAAGUCCUGAGUUCUUAUAAAGAAAGAGAGAAAGGAGACUUAAGAACAAAACAUUCUCUGCCACUGGAUUUUAAUUAGAACUAUAGUAACCAUGUGAUGUAAAGUUAGAAACAUGCAUUUUGUGAGAUUAAGUUCUCUAAUUCCCACACGUAUGUCUCCUCAUGUUCCAUGUUAUAGGAUGAGUGCAUCCAUUUAAAAUCCCUAAGUUAAAACCUCACCAUUAAUACGCGGGUAUUAGGAGGCCGGGCCUUUGGGGUGAUUAGGAUCAUGAGGGUAUGAAGGUGGGGUAUGGAGGUUAGUGCCUUUCUGGGAGUGCAGGGAAAUUCAUUGUUCUGUUCUGCACAGUGAGAAUGCCACUGUCUGCAAUAGGGGAGAGGGCCCCCAUCAGAAUCCCACCAGCCCAUAGCCUGGCCCUGGACUUCCACCUCCUGAACAGGGAGGAAGAGAUGUUGGUUGUUGAAGCCACUAAGCAUGUGAUGGGUUUAGCAUCCCGAACAGACUGAGACAGUCAGCACUUAAUUUAUGUCCCACAGUGUGAUUUUAUAAUUACCUUUAUUUGGGACCUCUAUCUUCAUAUUAAAAUCAUUCCUAGCUCUUAAAAGUUUUUUGGAACUAUUGUAAAAAUAUUUUCCCAUUUUACAUCAAGUUUUUAUUGUUAAUAUAAUGCAAGAUAAAAUUUUGUAUUUUUAUCUUUAAUCCAGUAAUUUUGUUUCCCAUUAAGAUGGCUUUUAAAAUAGAAGCUCUUGAGUUUGGGUGGCAUAAAAUUAUAUUGAAAUUAAAAACAAAUAGUAGUAUUGCUUUCAAUAUUUUUAUGAUUUUUUUUCACGAACAGAUGUGUUUCUUUCAACAGUUGAGUUUGAAACUCUUGCCUUAAGGUGUUACAAUGAUUAUAUAUCAGGAAUAGACAAUUUCCUACACUGUCAAAUAUAUGAAAGUUGCUUUUGCACACCUUUUUCAACACUGAUCUACAAGCAGAAUCAGUCCCCAUUUGCUUUGACUUAUCCCCUGAGUUAUGCUGAGUGAACUCUGGCCUCUCAGGUGGCAGAGGGCAGGGAGGCUGAGGUGGACCUUCCUGGAGCCACAGAUGAACUGCCACAGUAGAGUGAGAGUGCCCAUCAUGGUGACAUGGGCAAAGUCCCUGCCACACACCUGUAGGUCCAAGUCUCUGAGGACCUGAGGAGCAUGGACACUCCAGAAUCAGCAGGGUAAGGGACAAUUGCACAGAAGACUCUAGCUGUGUCAUCUGCCACAGAUGUCCCAACCAGCUGCACUGCUUUUGUGCACUCGCUGCUGGGCUUAGGAACCACAGACCUGAGUGGCACUCCAAUAGCAUGCUCAGCACAGGUGGCCUUCACCUUGGGUGCACAGUGUCUGUCCCACACAGAGAGGAGCCCUCCCGGGAGCAAUGCUUUUUUUGCCUUCUUCCCUAUACAUUUUGGGAGCUGCAUCCCUCCAAGUGUUGGCACAGCCUGGUUGGAUUUGAAUCUGACCUUCGGCAGCUUCUGUAGGAGCCAAGGCAAAGAACUCAGCUCUGGCAGAGGCAGCCAAACAUAGUGAUGUGCACCAGAGAUAGGCGUUCUCCUCCCCUCGCAGGUUCUAUCCAAGGCUCUGAAAACUUCAUGAAAGCCAAACUGCAAAGCCCUGGCGUAGAGGAGCCAGUGAAAGCUGGACCUAUCCUUUAACCAGAACACAGACACCAUCCUCCUUAAGUAUAAGGAGAAUCCAUUCGAUGUGUCUGGUGCUUUUGGGGGUCCAACUGCACACAGCAUUUCACUAAAUGCAGGGGAACAGCCGUGUGUGUCAGCCCACAACUUAAGACCCCACCAAAGCCCCAUGUGCAUAAAACUCCAUGGAGCCACAGUAACAGCAGUUCUCUUCUACUGCAGGUUGCCAGCUUGCCAAGACUUUGGGGUGGGCACAGGGGCCUGGUGAGGCUGCUGCUGGGUCCCAAGAGGUCACUGUGUACCAGCUGCAGGUGUGGCAUGUUGAAGAAUUUGCCCAUGCCAGGUGUACCAGAGAGGAGCACAUCUUCUUAAGACAGGGAACAGCUGACGGCUCCUUGGAAAGGCUCCCCUGCUUACAGAGGCCAGGUGUGUCCCCCACCCCCCCCACCCCCGUCAAAGUUUUUAUGAAUUAUUUUACUGCAAUGCUUACUGAAUUGACUAGAACAUAUAACAUCAUAUUGGACUAUAAUGCAAACAGCAGAAAUCCAUGAUAUUCAUUGUAUAAACUGAACUGAUUUUGUAUUUCACCAUUUAGAAUAUUUUCUGUUUGUGUUUGACAAGUAGAUUUUUCAAGUCAUCAAAUGGCUACAACUUUUUAAUUCUUUCAGAGUUCCUACUUAGAGUGACUAUUAGGUUUUCCAAAUGCUUCUUAAGGAUCUAUUGAUAGGACCAUAUUGUUAUGUUUUAAAUUAUUUUAGUAGAUUUUAUAGUAUCAAACCAUCCUUGCAAUGUAUGAGCAGAUCCAAGCUGGCUGCAGUAUAUUAAUCUAUGCAAAUAGUCUUGAAUUAUAUUUUCUAUAUUUUUAUUCAUAACUUUUAUCUGUAAUCAUACACAAUGUUGUUUGAGAUUUUUAAAUAUUAUCUAUUUGUAAAACAAUUAUUUUGACCAGAACUCUGUAUUAAAAUUACUCUAGCUUCAUGACUGACCCAGUAGGGAGGCUUUUCUCUUUUCAUGUGAUUGGAAUUGACAGUUUAAAGAGCAGUGAAACCAUCUGGCCUCUAGGGCUGGGCUUUGCUCAGUGCUGGAAUCCUCUGGAUGUGGACUUACAACACCAGCUCCUCCGACGCCUUCCCAAGACUGCAACUCAGCCUCUGUACACUCUCUGCUUCAUCUUGGAUCAGUUAUUGCAACUCACAUUUGGUUAGUAGUUAAACAUUCCCCCAGGUUUUCAAAUUUGUUAUUAAAAGGUUGUAUAACCGCCUAAUGUAUUAUAUGUAAUGCACUGUAUUUACUUAUGCAUGAUGUCAUGUAUUAAUAUCAUUAUGUCCUAGUACAUUUGAUAGGUCAAAUGUUAUAUAUAUUUGUAUAAUUGUAUAUUACACAUAUGUUUUGUCUCCUCCCUUGUUCUAAUCAUGCAUUUUUCCCUUCAAUCUUUAUUUUAAAAUUUUAUCAUAAGCAAAUUUACAAGGGGUUUGUCUAGUAUACUGGUAUUUUCACAAACUAGCUCUUGGGUUUAUUAUUCAUUCUUUUAUUUUUGCCAUUGUUUUAAAAUUAUUAUUAUGCUCAUUUUUUUCUUCACUAAUUUCCUCUUCCUGCUUUCUUUUGGUUUAUUUUAAUUGUUUCCCUAGUUUUCUAUAAUAUAAAGUUUCAUUAUUUUUAAUAUCUCUUUUUUAAUGCAAGCUUUUAAGUUUCUUCAUAUUUCUCUAGGUAAAAUUUAUGCAAUAUUUUAGCUUUGAUGACCUCCUUAUUCCAAAAUUUCUCUAGGGGUAUAUUUCUUAAUUUUUAAGUGUGAAUUUUAUAACGUUUUUAAUGUAUUUUAUAAUGAUAAGAAAUCCUUUCUUUGUUCUAUCAACUUACAAAAUAAUUUUUAUUAUCUAUUUGACAGAUUAUGGAUUCAUAGAUUUCAUUAUGGUUUUAAUUUUGGUCUGUAACUUGUAACUGACUUAGAGAAGGGAAGGAUAUACUAAAAUCUCCCCAGAAUAUAACAUUUUAAUAUAAUUCUUCUAUUCCUAAUAGGUUUUGCUUCAUAUCUUUAACUGCUCUUUUGUGUGCGUACAAAGAUCUAUGAGCCUUUUGCUUGCCUGGGUUGUCUGAGAAGCAGACAUCGGGAUGGGACUGAAUGUGGUGGAAUCUUCCGUGGGAGGUCAACGUAAAGGAACCGGGAGAGGCUGGGGAGGUGUCGCCCGUAGUACAGCUCUGACUCCAAGUACGGGGUUGCUGGGGGAAGGCAGGUGGAGACAGAGCAUCUUGGACGGCAGGCCUCAUAAGAGUCCAUCAAGGCUGUCAGCAGGCCAGGACCAUGGCUGGCUGUCCUGGAAUGCGUGCCCUCCAGGAAGGCUGGCUGGUACUGUGCUGCUCUCCUCCCUGCCUAGGAGGAGCCACCUGGCAGCCACAGCCUGACACGGGGUGCCGGGAGCAGCAGCCAUGUGCUGGUCAUAUGUGCUCCCUGUGGUUGAAAUCAGGUGGUGUGUCCAAUGACACAUGCAUCCAUGUGCCUUCUUCAAAGAGAAGCACGACCUCUGUUAUUAGCCCAGUAUUUUAGCAUUUUCCAAAGCUAUUAGCUCUUGGGAUCUUUUCUCCUACAGAAUAUGGGCAGCACAUUCUAAGAAAUGCUCUUCUCAUUGCUCAUCCUUUGACAGUGCCCUUGUCAUGUCUGAAAUAUUUCACCAACGAUAUCUAUGAAGACAGAGACAACACUUAUGUCAAAUUUGCAGCUGACACUGAAAAAAAAGGAAAAAUAAAUCUGACCGACUCCUGUAAGUCCUUCUACUUAUGCACAAGUGCAAUUCUGAAGGCUUUUUGAAAGGUCAUUUGAUCAUAAAUUCAAAGUAAGGGAGUCUGUUUUAAGUUUGCAAGGCCCAGACACAGACGUGAGUGGUGACCUCGAAGCAUUAAAGCCGGUGUACAUGGUCUUAGCUGGUGUUGUUCUGAAGUUUUGAGGCAGUUCAUCCCCAGGCCAACUCCUGAGCAUCUCUAAAGGUGCUUUGGUUGCUCCUUACUGUGAAGCCAGCAUACACUUGUCUCUCCUCAUUUUGAUUUUGUGCAGAUUCAAAUGGCCAUGAUUCCAUGUGGUCAUCCACGGCUGUGACCAGUUUCCUCAGCAGAAGAAUCACAUUGCUUUGCUUCUGACUCUUGGCUUCAGGCCACUCUGUGUAGAGACUAAAGCCCAUGGGCAUGGUUGGCCCCAGCGUGGCCCCAAGCUCACGUCUAGAUCCCUGGUGCAUCAAGGCCCAGAGGUGGCUUUGGGGGAAGUGAUGGGGUCAGGAGGGCUUACCAGGGAACCAAUCCUUUUGAUGGCUUAGCAAGUGAAAUGGGCCAUUGGGAGCUGGUGGAAGUUGUCAGCUGAGGAGGUAGGUCACUGGGGGACGGUAUCUUGUCCUGUCCCUUUCUGUCGCCUCUCCCUUUCUCUUUGCUUCCCAGCUUCCAUGAGCUGAGCGGCGUUGCUCCAUCCUCCUUCUCCAUGAUGCUCUGGCUCACCUCAGGACCAGAGCAAGGAGCCAGCCAGCCAUGGACUGAACCUCUGAAACCAUGAGCCCAAGUUCUUUCCUCCUUAUGUUGAAAAAAGUUAACACACCUCUGAAACCUGAAGUCCACCCAGAAGGCUGAUCCCACCAGGGCCUCCAGUUGACCUGCCCACCACAAGCCUCUCCUGGUCUUCCUGUCCCUGUUGACUGUGCAGGUGUAGAGCUUUACACUGAUUCACUUUCUGCCCUUGAGGAUUGUCCCUCCUGUGGAGUGACUCAUGCACAGCACCUGCCACUUCCCCACCACAUUCCAUUUUUAUCAGAAGCUUCUUCUGAUUUCCCUGUAAGUUUCUAGGUAUGAAUUCUUUCUAUAUUUUAUUGGCACUUUCAAAUAUUAUGGGUAUAACAAUGCUCCUAAAAUGUCUCAGCAGUAAACACAGACAGCUGAGUCUAAAAUGAGUCUGCAGACGGCUGAUGUCAUCUGUUGGUGGCAGUGGGACCUGACACAAUUUGCUCUGGAGGAAAGCUUUGUUUAUUUUUACUGAAGUUUAUUGGUUGAAACUUAUGAAGAGACACGAUUCUAUAUUAAGCUGGGGACCUGAGGGGACACACAGGUAAUGCUACCUCUGGCUUCCUGGCCCUCAGAGAGACAGCUCCUUCAAAUGCAGAUAGGAAAAGAAAGCCGCGCUUCAUUAAGAAGCCAACUCACAGGAAGCCUCCUUUCCGCGGCUCUCCUCUGCCAUCCUGCCUCUUUGGUAAGCUGGAUCUUAUUUCAACUGGCGCAGGAAGCUUUGGGAUCCAUCUGAAAGGGGCCAUCCCCCACCAUCAAGGGCUCCCUCCUGCUUCGCUCCUGGGUGUGGAUAGCAAGCCUAGCCUCAGCAAGGUGGGAGGUACCUGCUUGGGGUACCAGGUCACCUUUUAUGAAAAGGCUAGAACUGCAUUAACCCAGUGACGCACUGGGUGUUGGGUUUGUCCAGGAACUGGCCCGGUGGUGGCUGGUGGCCUCCUUCAGAUCCUGAAGGGACUCCCAGUGCUUUGUGGUACUUGCAUAGUGUGGCUAAUCUCUAACAGAAGAAACAUAGGUGCUGUCCUCACCUAUGACUCACUCAAAAAGGCCAGGGGCAGCACUGCUUCUUACACUACCCGGGUCAUUCUACCCUCAUCAGCUGGCCGAGGCCCACCUCUGCCCUGGACAAACCUCAGCCUUAGGUAAGGGCAAUGAGAGCACCCACUGCCCAGCACGCCACCCUGUGGGGCUUGGCCUCGAUUUCUGUCUGUCUAUAAGUCUGAGACUCCAGCUGUGCCUGGCUCUGCUUCUACCCAUCUCCUACACCAGAUGAUGGGACGCCAAAUCAAAGUCCCCGGCUGGAGGACAGGACAGAAUCAUCGGAGUGAAAACCUGCGGGAUAGGAGAGCAUGCCAUGAACCAGGCUCUCGUGAGGGGACAGCACCCAGGAUGUGUCACUAUAACUCAACAGCAAACGAGCAUACAACCCAGUGGAAAAUCGGACCUGCGAUUCAAGCCAACACCUUUUGUGGAGAUCUAACCAUACAUUAGGCACAUUCCAGGAACAGGACACCAAAUAAGCCCCAUCCCUGCUGAGUGCACUGGGAUCAAGUGCUGGAAACCAAGAGCCUACAAGUGUGAACGUGGCCCGCCGCCCUUGGGUCGUGUUGAAUCAGGAUGUUGAGGAUUCUAAGGAGUAAGUCAGCUCUCAUAGUGCUGCACUGGUCCUGCAAGAGCAGGUGCUGUCAGGGAGCCCCGUACCUCCCUGGGUCUUUCUUGACACACUUCUGCACUCUCCCAUCUGUCCUUCCACCAGGAGACCCUCGCCAGAAGCCAAGCAGAUGCUGGAACAACCCAGAGCAGAACUAUGAGCUAAACAAAUAUCUUUUCCUUAUAAAGUACUCAGAUUCUGGUAUUUUAUUAUAGCAACACAAAAACAAGACAAAAAGGAUACUAAAAUCAUACAAAAACAAAACAUCAAAAUCAAGCCAUAUGGGGCUGGGUUUGUGGCUCAGUGGUAGAGUGCUCGCCUGGCAUGUGAGAGGCACUGGGUUCCAUCCUCAAUCCCACUUAAAAAUGAAAUAAAGAUAUUG